This 409-nucleotide ribosomal RNA is filed under the name Actinomycetes bacterium. RNAcentral's name for it is "Actinobacteria bacterium partial 16S ribosomal RNA". It matches the Rfam family "Bacterial small subunit ribosomal RNA", at positions 355 to 776 of the family's 1533-position model. The record is from RNAcentral. Lineage: Bacteria; Bacillati; Actinomycetota; Actinomycetes.
UGGGGAAUAUUUCACAAUGGGCGGAAGCCUGAUGCAGCGACGCCGCGUGGGGGAUGAAGGCCUUCGGGUUGUAAACUCCUUUCGACAGGGACGAAGCUUUUGUGACGGUACCUGUAUAAGAAGCACCGGCUAACUACGUGCCAGCAGCCGCGGUAAUACGUAGGGUGCGAGCGUUGUCCGUAAUUACUGGGGGUAAAGAGCUCGUAGGUGGUUUGUCGCGUCGUCUGUGAAAUUCCGGGGCUUUACUCCGGGCGUGCAGGCGAUACGUGCUGACUUGAGUGCUGUAGGAGAGACUGGAAUUCCUGGUGUAGCGGUGAAAUGCGCAGAUAUCAGGGGGAACACCGAUGGCGAAGGCAGGUCUCUGGGCAGUAACUGACGCUGAGGAGCGAAAGCAUGGGUAGCGAACAGG